UAACGCGAGAGAGGUUCGGAAAGAGCACGUAGGCCACGCCCUUGUCGCUCAGGCUCUCGGGAAAACGUCACCGGGAUUAUAAAAGCGCGCGCGCCGCACGUUGCAGCCUCUUUCGCUGCGGUCAGCGUGCUUUAACUUCGUGCGUAUCUAGUGUCCGUGCCGAGGUGACUGUUGGGCCCUCAUUUGUGAGCGGCUAAGAUGCGGGCGGCACGAGGCCGUUGCGGUGCAGGCCGCCGGCCGUCAGCAGCACAGGAGCCUGGUGAGGGCUAGCACGCGCCACAGCCAUGUGAAGCCGACCCCGUGUUGAGCGGAGACACCCGAGGACCUCCACUGUCACGGAUGGUAACACCGGAAUUCAUUGCUGUUUGGUGAUGGAAAACGUGCAGGUAUUGUUAAAGGGAAGUAGUAGUGGCUGAGAUAUUCGGGAAUCUUACAGGGAUCUUCACAUUUAAAUCUUGGUAAUGGGCAUUUGUGAAUGUUAAUAAUAUAGCACUGUAUUCGGUGGCGGGCCUUUAUUUCAUGUGAAUUUUUUCAUAGACAAAUAAAAUUGGUUAGUAAUAAGAUCGUGUUGUGUUUAUUUCUGGAGACUGUAUGAGUAAGAGUUCUUACACAGGUGACAUUUGCAGAGGAAAUGUCUGGGAUAACCAGGAUACCUGAGAGGAGAGGGUGGUCUCAUUACUGUAUAUUAUGCAGAGGUGCACUGAAGACUUGUGUGUUGGGUUUGUGCAAACUACAAGUUAGGCGCUUGUCACAUUUUCAGAGUAGUUUCACAGGCAACCAACGGACAGUUGCC
Molecule: long non-coding RNA, 793 nt
Organism: Chionomys nivalis (European snow vole)
Lineage: Eukaryota; Metazoa; Chordata; Mammalia; Rodentia; Cricetidae
Exons: 3
Source: RefSeq, a predicted model, not a curated record